Molecule: ribosomal RNA, 172 nt
Filed under: uncultured bacterium
Lineage: Bacteria
Description: partial 16S ribosomal RNA
Rfam family: Bacterial small subunit ribosomal RNA
Source: RNAcentral
ACUCCUACGGGAGGCAGCAGUGGGGAAUUUUCCGCAAUGGGCGAAAGCCUGACGGAGCAAUACCGCGUGAGGGACGAAGGCUUUUGGGUCGUAAACCUCUUUUCUCAAGGAAGAUGAUGACGGUACUUGAGGAAUAAGCAUCGGCUAACUCUGUGCCAGCAGCCGCGGUAAU